This 81-nucleotide transfer RNA is filed under the name Thiotrichaceae bacterium. RNAcentral's name for it is "tRNA-Leu". It matches the Rfam family "tRNA". From Rfam's summary of the family: Transfer RNA (tRNA) molecules are approximately 80 nucleotides in length. Their secondary structure includes four short double-helical elements and three loops (D, anti-codon, and T loops). Lineage: Bacteria; Pseudomonadati; Pseudomonadota; Gammaproteobacteria; Thiotrichales; Thiotrichaceae. The record is from RNAcentral.
GUGGCGGAACUGGUAGACGCGCUGGAUUCAAAAUCCAGUGAGGGUGACCUCGUGUCGGUUCGAUUCCGACCCUCGGUACCA